This 341-nucleotide unclassified non-coding RNA is filed under the name soil metagenome. Its description in RNAcentral is "partial contains 5.8S ribosomal RNA, internal transcribed spacer 2, and large subunit ribosomal RNA". The stretch from base 1 to 120 matches the Rfam family "5.8S ribosomal RNA", at positions 35 to 154 of the family's 154-position model. The record is from RNAcentral.
GAUGAAGAACGUAUCGAAAUGCGAUAAGUAAUGUGAAUUGCAGAAUUCAGUGAAUCAUCGAAUCUUUGAACGCACAUUGCGCCCGCCAGUAUUCUGGCGGGCAUGCCUGUUCGAGCGUCAUUUCAACCAUCAAGCCCCCGGGCUUGUGUUGGGGACCUGCGGCUGCCCGCAGGCCCUGAAAACCAGUGGCGGGCUCGCUGUCACACCGAGCGUAGUAGCAUAUCAUCUCGCUCUGGGCGUGCUGCGGGUUCCGGCCGUUAAAGCCUUUUUUUUUUACCCAAGGUUGACCUCGGAUCAGGUAGGAAGACCCGCUGAACUUAAGCAUAUCAAUAAGCGGAGGA